UGUGUAGGAUAGGUGGGAGGCUUUGAAGUGUGGACGCCAGUCUGCAUGGAGCCGGCCUUGAAAUACCACCCUUUAAUGUUUGAUGUUCUAACGUUGACCCGUGAUCCGGGUUGCGGACAGUGUCUGGUGGGUAGUUUGACUGGGGCGGUCUCCUCCUAAAGAGUAACGGAGGAGCACGAAGGUUGGCUAAUCCUGGUCGGACAUCAGGAGGUUAGUGCAAUGGCAUAAGCCAGCUUGACUGCGAGCGUGACGGCGCGAGCAGGUGCGAAAGCAGGUCAUAGUGAUCCGGUGGUUCUGAAUGGAAGGGCCAUCGCUCAACGGAUAAAAGGUACUCCGGGGAUAACAGGCUGAUACCGCCCAAGAGUUCAUAUCGACGGCGGUGUUUGGCACCUCGAUGUCGGCUCAUCACAUCCUGGGGCUGAAGUAGGUCCCAAGGGUAUGGCUGUUCGCCAUUUAAAGUGGUACGCGAGCUGGGUUUAGAACGUCGUGAGACAGUUCGGUCCCUAUCUGCCGUGGGCGCUGGAGAACUGAGGGGGGCUGCUCCUAGUACGAGAGGACCGGAGUGGACGCAUCACUGGUGUUCGGGUUGUCAUGCCAAUGGCACUGCCCGGUAGCUAAAUGCGGAAGAGAUAAGUGCUGAAAGCAUCUAAGCACGAAACUUGCCCCGAGAUGAGUUCUCCCUGACUCCUUGAGAGUCCUGAAGGAACGUUGAAGACGACGACGUUGAUAGGCCGGGUGUGUAAGCGCAGCGAUGCGUUGAGCUAACCGGUACUAAUGAACCGUGAGGCUUAACCUU
RNAcentral lists this ribosomal RNA (796 nucleotides) under Escherichia coli. Its description in RNAcentral is "partial 23S ribosomal RNA". It matches the Rfam family "Bacterial large subunit ribosomal RNA", at positions 2135 to 2925 of the family's 2925-position model. The record is from RNAcentral. Lineage: Bacteria; Pseudomonadati; Pseudomonadota; Gammaproteobacteria; Enterobacterales; Enterobacteriaceae.